AUACGUAGGGUGCAAGCGUUAAUCGGAAUUACUGGGCGUAAAGCGUGCGCAGGCGGUUUUGUAAGACAGAGGUGAAAUCCCCGGGCUCAACCUGGGAACUGCCUUUGUGACUGCAAGGCUAGAGUACGGCAGAGGGGGAUGGAAUUCCGCGUGUAGCCGUGAAAUGCGUAGAUAUGCGGGGGAAAACCGAUGGCGAAGGCAAUCCCCUGGGCCAGUUCUGACGCUCAUGCGCGAAAGCGUGGGGAGCAAACAGGAUUAGAUACCCUGGGAGUCCACGCCCUAAACGAUGUCAACUGGUUGUUGGGUCUUCAUUGACUCAGUAACGAAGCUAACGCGUGAAGUUGACCGCCUGGGGAGUACGGCCUCAAGGUUGAAACUCAAAGGAAUUGACGGGG
RNAcentral lists this ribosomal RNA (395 nucleotides) under uncultured bacterium. RNAcentral's name for it is "partial 16S ribosomal RNA". It matches the Rfam family "Bacterial small subunit ribosomal RNA", at positions 523 to 918 of the family's 1533-position model. The record is from RNAcentral.